Long non-coding RNA from Prosopis cineraria, 753 nucleotides. RefSeq lists it as uncharacterized. Lineage: Eukaryota; Viridiplantae; Streptophyta; Magnoliopsida; Fabales; Fabaceae. The record is from RefSeq and is a predicted model, not a curated record. The transcript is spliced from 3 exons.
UCAAGUUGUUGCUCGCUGCGUCGUGAGCUGCGGCUUGCGUGGCGUGCGCUGUGGUGCACGGCACAGCAGGCAACUUAAAAUUUCGAGAAUCAUAAAAAAUGGACAGUUUUUAGGGUGGAAAACUUAGAGCACGAAGGGAGCAACUUUGGUUAUUGCUAGAGUAUCAAUUUAGAAGAAUUUUGAAGAUAAUUUGAGUCUCCAAACUCUUGGAUUGUGGUGUGAGAAGACUUACCUUGACACAAGAAGAGAAUUAGUACCACGGGUAACCCUUUUAGUAACAAAAGGGUUGAGGUGCUACCAGUGAGACUGAGCCAGGUAGAGAAUCGGGCAGGGGCCAGCAUAUCUGCUACACUCUUUGUAAAGCCUGAUUUUAGUUUGAGUGGUGUACAUAAACUUAUUAUAUGAUAUUAUAUGUUGCUAACUAGGAAUGCAUAUCAUUUUGAUUGGUUGCACUUGUUUCAUACUAUGUUGUUGUGUAUUUUAGCCCAAUAUUGUAUAUGAGGUGAAUAUGUGGUAAUUUUUGUGGUGAUGGGCUAAAAUGCUAAUACAAGUGCAAGGAAUGUUUUAUUUAUGUGGUGAUAAUGUAUUUGUAGUGUAUUAUGUGGCAAUAGAGGCCAAAUAGCAUACAUGAUGUUGAUUUGGUCUUUUGGCCAUAUUAGGCAAAAUGGCCAUUGAGUGGCUAAAUUUUGUGUUUGGUAUGUUUUUGUGUGUUUGGUUGGUCACUCAAGUGUAUUUUGGUCCAUUGGACUUGGU